Molecule: ribosomal RNA, 440 nt
Filed under: uncultured bacterium
Lineage: Bacteria
Description: partial 16S ribosomal RNA
Rfam family: Bacterial small subunit ribosomal RNA
Source: RNAcentral
CCUACGGGUGGCAGCAGUGGGGGAUCUUGCACAAUGGGGGAAACCCUGAUGCAGCAACGCCGCGUGUGGGAAGAAGGUUUUCGGAUUGUAAACCACUGUUCUUGGUGAAGAUAAUGACGGUAACCAAGGAGAAAGCUCCGGCUAACUACGUGCCAGCAGCCGCGGUAAUACGUAGGGAGCAAGCGUUGUCCGGAUUUACUGGGUGUAAAGGGUGCGUAGGCGGUCUUGCCAAUCAGACGUGAAAACCGCAGGCUCAACCUGUUGACUGCGUUUGAAACUGUGGGGAUUGAGUGACGUAGAGGUAGGCGGAAUUUCCGGUGUAGCGGUGAAAUGCGUAGAGAUCUGGAGGAAAACCAGUGGCGAAGGCAGCCUACUGGGCUUUAUCUGACGCUGAGGCACGAAAGCAUGGGGAGAAAACAGGAUGAGAUACCCGAGUAGUC